UAUACGGUGAAACUGCGAAUGGCUCAUUAAAUCAGUUAUCGUUUAUUUGAUAGUACCUUACUACUUGGAUAACCGUGGUAAUUCUAGAGCUAAUACAUGCUAAAAACCCCGACUUCGGAAGGGGUGUAUUUAUUAGAUAAAAAACCAAUGCCCUUCGGGGCUCCUUGGUGAUUCAUAAUAACUUAACGAAUCGCAUGGCCUUGUGCCGGCGAUGGUUCAUUCAAAUUUCUGCCCUAUCAACUUUCGAUGGUACCGUAGUGGGCUACCAUGGUUUCAACGGGUAACGGGGAAUUAGGGUUCUAUUCCGGAGAGGGAGCCUGAGAAACGGCUACCACAUCCAAGGAAGGCAGCAGGCGCGCAAAUUACCCAAUCCCGACACGGGGAGGUAGUGACAAUAAAUACUGAUACAGGGCUCUUUUGGGUCUUGUAAUUGGAAUGAGUACAAUUUAAAUCCCUUAACGAGGAACAAUUGGAGGGCAAGUCUGGUGCCAGCAGCCGCGGUAAUUCCAGCUCCAAUAGCGUAUAUUAAAGUUGUUGCAGUUAAAAAGCUCGUAGUUGAACCUUGGGCCUGGCUGGCCGGUCCGCCUCACCGCGUGCACUGGUCCGGCCGGGUCUUUCCUUCUGGGGAGCCGCAUGCCCUUCAUUGGGUGUGUCGGGGAACCAGGACUUUUACUUUGAAAAAAUUAGAGUGUUCAAAGCAGGCCUAUGCUCGAAUACAUUAGCAUGGAAUAAUAGAAUAGGACGCGUGGUUCUAUUUUGUUGGUUUCUAGGACCGCCGUAAUGAUUAAUAGGGAUAGUCGGGGGCGUCAGUAUUCAAUUGUCAGAGGUGAAAUUCUUGGAUUUAUUGAAGACUAACUACUGCGAAAGCAUUCGCCAAGGAUGUUUUCAUUAAUCAGUGAACGAAAGUUAGGGGAUCGAAGACGAUCAGAUACCGUCGUAGUCUUAACCAUAAACUAUGCCGACUAGGGAUCGGGCGAUGUUAUCUUUUUGACUCGCUCGGCACCUUACGAGAAAUCAAAGUCUUUGGGUUCU
Molecule: ribosomal RNA, 1032 nt
Filed under: Gremmenia infestans
Lineage: Eukaryota; Fungi; Ascomycota; Leotiomycetes; Helotiales; Hamatocanthoscyphaceae
Description: SSU rRNA
Rfam family: Eukaryotic small subunit ribosomal RNA
Source: RNAcentral